AUUGCUUCUCGGCCUUUGGCUGAGGUCAAGUGUAGUGUCUGUUCUUACCAGUUUAAUAUCUGAUAUGUCCUCUAUUGGAGGACAAUAUACUAAAUGGAUUUUUGGAGUUAGGAGAUGGAACAGGGGCUUCACUCCACACAUCGACCUAGUAUUGCAGUACUUCCAGGAACAGUGCACCAAAA
This is a small nuclear RNA of Artibeus jamaicensis (Jamaican fruit-eating bat), 182 nucleotides long. RefSeq annotates it as U2 spliceosomal RNA. The transcript has a single exon. NCBI's taxonomy places the organism in Eukaryota, Metazoa, Chordata, Mammalia, Chiroptera, Phyllostomidae. The record is from RefSeq and is a predicted model, not a curated record.